Molecule: ribosomal RNA, 496 nt
Filed under: uncultured bacterium
Lineage: Bacteria
Description: partial 16S ribosomal RNA
Rfam family: Bacterial small subunit ribosomal RNA
Source: RNAcentral
GAUGAACGCUGGCGGCGUGCCUAAUACAUGCAAGUCGAGCGAACAGAUGAGGAGCUUGCUCCUCUGACGUUAGCGGCGGACGGGUGAGUAACACGUGGAUAACCGACCUAUAAGACUGGGAUAACUUCGGGAAACCGGAGCUAAUACCGGAUAAUAUAUUGAACCGCAUGGUUCAAGAGUGAAAGACGGUUUUGCUGUCACUUAUAGAGGGAUCCGCGCCGCAUUAGCUAGUUGGUAAGGUAACGGCUUACCAAGGCAACGAUGCGUAGCCGACCUGAGAGGGUGAUCGGCCACCCUUGAACUGAGACCCGGUCCAGACUCCUACGGGAGGCAGCAGUAGGGAAUCUUCCGCAAUGGGCGAAAGCCUGACGGAGCCACGCCGCGUGAGUGAUGAAGGUCUUCGGAUCGUAAAACUCUGUUAUUAGGGAAGAACAAAUGUGUAAGUAACUAUGCACGUCUUGACGGUACCUAAUCAGAAAGCCACGGCUAACUACGU